CACGUAGGGAGCAAGCGUUGUCCGGAUUUAUUGGGCGUAAAGCGCUCGCAGGUGGUUCGUCGCGUCGUGCGUGAAAGACCCCGGCUCAACUGGGGAGGGUCGUGCGAUACGGGCGGACUGGAGGCCAGUAGGGGGAUGCGGAAUUCCGGGUGUAGUGGUGGAAUGCGUAGAGAUCCGGAGGAACACCAGCGGCGAAGGCGGCAUCCUGGACUGGUCCUGACACUCAUGAGCGAAAGCGUGGGGAGCGAUCCGG
RNAcentral lists this ribosomal RNA (253 nucleotides) under uncultured bacterium. Its description in RNAcentral is "partial 16S ribosomal RNA". It matches the Rfam family "Bacterial small subunit ribosomal RNA", at positions 524 to 776 of the family's 1533-position model. The record is from RNAcentral.